GAGGGUAUAGCUCAACUGGUAGAGCAUAUGCUUAGCAUGCAUGAGGUCCUGGGUUCAAUCCCCAGUACCUCCU
RNAcentral lists this transfer RNA (73 nucleotides) under Camelus dromedarius (Arabian camel). It matches the Rfam family "tRNA". Rfam says of the family: Transfer RNA (tRNA) molecules are approximately 80 nucleotides in length. Their secondary structure includes four short double-helical elements and three loops (D, anti-codon, and T loops). RNAcentral also lists the same sequence under 1 other name. The record is from Rfam by way of RNAcentral. Lineage: Eukaryota; Metazoa; Chordata; Mammalia; Artiodactyla; Camelidae.